GAUGGCCCAAGAGAGAUCUAAAUUUUAGAAAUCAAGAAAAAAUCUUUCUUUUUUUUUCUGAUAUUGGAAUUUUAAAAAUCUAAACUUUAAAAUCUUUCUUUUUUAUCAUCUCUUCUUCCACUUCUUCGAUUUUCUUCCUCUGACACCCUCCAACUCUUCUGAUGAUAGCACUAACGAUGUUGCCACCAACCACCACUGCUAAUAAUGGCAACA
Molecule: long non-coding RNA, 213 nt
Filed under: Elaeis guineensis (African oil palm)
Lineage: Eukaryota; Viridiplantae; Streptophyta; Magnoliopsida; Arecales; Arecaceae
Description: long non-coding RNA (EGUI_LNC032138)
Source: RNAcentral